RNAcentral lists this small nuclear RNA (21 nucleotides) under Arabidopsis thaliana (thale cress). Its description in RNAcentral is "snRNA_07683". Lineage: Eukaryota; Viridiplantae; Streptophyta; Magnoliopsida; Brassicales; Brassicaceae. The record is from RNAcentral.
CACGUGAUCACCGUCAGAGGA